CUGGAAUUGCCCAGGGAUGAGCAGAAGCCGUGUAGCAAACAGCAGCUACAGAUCAUUUCAAGAGAAAUAUUAGUUCAACUGCAACCAAUUUCCUGCCCUUUGCCUUGGGACACUAUUUUGCAUGAGUCUAUUUUUAACCUGGGUUAUUUCUUUACUAUGUUGUGGUAGCUGCAGGCGCACUGCCUUCAGUUUAUCAAAUGUUAACUUGGAAAAAUGGACUUAUGCAGACCGUAUCUAAAGGGAGAUGUGAAAGUUGUUGUACUUGGAUUAAGGAUAGAUGUGAUACAUUUUGGAGAAGAUUUGUUAUUUGGGAGAUUUCUCCUACAGUUUUCUUUCAUCUCAGCAAGACACACAGCAAUGCUCUGCUGGAAAGCUUUAUCAAGGAAGGACAUGGGUGUAAGAAAGAAGCCAAAGAAGAAACAAGAAGGAUUUUUCUGAACUCCAGCAGAUUGUCUUUGCUGCCAGAUUUUGCUGGUUUUUCUGCAGAGACUUUUAAAAGCCAAGCUUCUCUGCAUAACUGAUGAAGAAAGUAUUGCAAUUUAAUGAACGUUUUAUAAAGAAAUAUAGGUCAUUAACAAGUUACCAUGCUGACUCUGGCUUCUUCCCUUUGCUUUUUAAUGGUGGAUCAUCU
Molecule: long non-coding RNA, 631 nt
Filed under: Cyanistes caeruleus (blue tit)
Lineage: Eukaryota; Metazoa; Chordata; Aves; Passeriformes; Paridae
Description: lncRNA (ENSCCEG00000019380.1)
Source: RNAcentral